AGGUGCUAGCUCCUAGAGACCACUCUAAGAUCUCCAAAGAAGACAGAUGGGCAAGUUGAUGCCACCUGGAUCAUGGUGACUCUAACCACUGGAAGGUACUGCCCCAUGCCUCUCCCUCUGUGGGGGCUCUACCCAAACUGUGGAGUCUACCUCUUCUAAGUAAAGUCAGUUUUCCCAGGUACCAUCUCGACGGGAAAAUCUCUCAGACCUAGGUGUGGCAGGCAAAGGCCUAUGCUGUCCUGUGCAACAACUGAAGGUGUAAUGCUGGCCCUUGUGACAGCCGAGACUAACUAUCUCUGACCCCAGCAAAGCCAUCCAGUCCAUGGGAGCCUAGGGUAGCCGGGAAGCCUCUUGUCAUUUUAGUUGGUACAGAGGCCAUUUGGAUUAUACGUCCCUCUAUAAUUUAUCCUCAAAUCUCUGAGGAUAUUGACUGACUGACUGACUGUACCUUUAUGCUGACUAAGCAUACUAACUCAUACUAACUCCAUCCUCAAGGCCGCAGCUGCCUGGCGAGUUCAUUCAUCCCAUACAGAAAGUCAGGCCUUACUUUUCCAGAACUACUGGGUCUGCGGGGACAGACUUCGCACUGAUAGAGAUAAACUCAUAAAACCGGUUUUAAUACAACUCUUUUUUUUUUUUUAAACUAUUCUUUUAUUUGAAGGAACUUGGCUUUGCAAUGGCUGUUUUCAGUAAUCAGGCACUGGCGUCUCGCGUCUCGCGGUAAAUCACUGGCUACGGAAACAAGAUGUCAAGCUUAAGCAAACCGUGAGUGUCUAAGAAAGUGGCUUAAGGUGUGUAAGUGCAAGUUCUAAGGGUCUAAUAAAGUGAUUCAAGGUAUGUAAAAAAUCAAAUGAGAAAAUGUUUCGGAUUUCUUUCCCUCUCUGUGGCAUUUAUGAAGACUUCAAAAGUUCCGAGUUUUAACAUCAAUCAAUGGAGAUCUGAGAAACUACUAAUCUGAUUCUGGUGAGGCAAUGAAUCUACUGCUGCUACUAUCAUAGUCAUAAGCUCAAAUUUUGAAUACCUUUGGUUGUCUUCUAAGUAUAGACUUAAAUGUCUUGGCGUACAGGUAAUUUCUCUGGCCUGCUCCCAGGGACCUAGCGAUUGCUUACCUGCUGCGACCAUCUGCCACUGCCAGGUGUGCCAGAUGUGGCGGUGAUGGAUAAAAGGACCCUCCUGCCACCCCCAGCUAUCUCUCUGUGCUUUGCGUUCCCUGUCUCUGGUCUCCACACCUGUCUCCUCCCUGCCCCACCCCACCCCCACAUUCAUUCUCUCCCUGCCCCCUCUCUCUACCCUUAUGGCUGCCUGCCUACAUGUCUGCUUGUCUGCCACUGUCCUUCCUCCCAGGUUCUCACUCCUCCCACUUCCCUCAAUCAACGUCUUCUACGCCAGAUCUUUUGCAUGGUGUACGUUUUCAGGUUUUAGCAUGGGCCUGCCAAAGAUACCCUAGCCAUUCCUGGGCACCCCCCAGGCACACUUUAUAACAUUGGUGCUGUGACCUUGGAGGGACUCUCCUGGUGUCUGGCCACACUGGAACCCCACCUGACCGCUACACCUGUAAUAGAUCUGCUUUCCGGUCCACAGAUCAUUAGGCACUCCACUCAACACCAACAGUUCAUGAGUUCUGUUUAACUCACUUUAAAUGCUUCUCUGAGUCUGACCAUUUUCCUGGAGGAGGCUACCUUUCUCUUGCCCUCUUGGUUUCUCUUGAGAACCCUGGUAUCAGGUACCAGACGGUUGUGUCUGCUCGGGCUUAGCCCUGACCCCUGUCCACUGAAUGACAAUUCACUGGACAACUUUUGCCCUCAGUCUGGUUUCCUUUGGGUCCCUUGCAUCUUGCCUUGGACCCAGGCCUGGGACUCCUCUCAUCUGUGGGAACUGCUUCCUCUUACCUCACAUCUAAACGAGUUGAACCUGACCUCAAGAUAUUGCCCAAGUGAUCGGGGGUGGGGGUGGGGGGAGAAUAAAACACUUCUCUUUUCCGUAUUCCUUAUUUCUCGCUCCAAGCCCUGCUUGCUUCUGUCUGGUGUCCCUCCCCACAUUGAGUAAAAGUCUUGCCUGUAAGUUUGCAACAACUGGGAGUUGGAGACAGAGGAGCAGAAACUGAAGCUCACUCUUUCCCUGCAGCGUCUGUUCAGAACCACUCCUGAGCCUUCCUGGGCCCAACAACAACACCCCGAUUUCAGCAGGAAGCAGUUAUGGAGGAGAUUAACUAGCCCUAUAUCAUCAACAAAAGGCUGAAAAUGGUAAGUCUCAAAGAAACCCAGGGCAAAUGGCUGAAGAGCCUCGUUAACAAACCCCAGUGGACCAUCCACUCUCAGAAUCAUCCUAGUUGGCAUACCCCACCCUUGACCCUAAACCUAUCCAACCCCUGGGCUUCAUUCCCUUCCCCUCCUCCAGCUUCUUCCAUCCCUAAAUAUCCUCUUGGCUCUUCCUGCUGCGCCUGGACUCUCUUUCACCCUUUGCCAUUUUUUUCUCCCAUUUCUCGUCCUCUCUCGUUCUCAUCCCCUCCCCCAGGGCUGUGUCCAGUCUGGAUCCUUCCAGACUCCCCUGCAUCUUUCACCCUUGUAUCUAAAAUCGGCUCAACCAAACCUUGAAGUCAUGCCCUCAUUUUUAAAUGCAACCGGGCGGGUUCUGGUUUCCGGGUGCAGCCUUGCUGUAGUGGGGCUCCCAGCUGAGCUACUUUUACAGGCCUAGAAGACACUAUUUUUUUUUUUUUUUUCUAUGCUCAUCACAUUCCCCUUUGGUUUUUUUCUUAGUCUCCUUGGUUGUCACUCUGGCUUCCUCUCUGCCCCCACACCCUCUCUUCCUUUCUAUAAUAUGUUACUUUCCCUCCCUGUCCUGGACUCUCUGGACUCUCUGGCUAUUCUCUCUCAUAUCUACACUAAAGUCCUUCUUCUUAACCCUACCUUGGAGCUGCCAUACCCCCACUUUAUAGACGAGGUCUCACUAAGUUGCCCAGGCUGAAUUCAUUCAGUUAGCCUGGCCUUGGACUGUGCCCUUCUUUUUCAGCCUCUGAGGUAUCUGGGAUGUCAGGUCUGCUCCACCAAGCUCAUCCUGGCACCAAUUCUACGGUGGGAAAACACUGGAAAAACACACUUUGAAAUCCAACCUGCUAAUCUCUGGGCUUUUGAUCUGAGGGCUCUGAGUCUCCUCCUGCAAACAGGAACACAGGAAGGCUUGUCUGGCCUCUGAGAACAAGGAAAGGAGGCUGUUCUGGACGAAGGACUUCAGGCUGCCUCUCUGCUGCUUCCCAUCCCUCAGGAAGGGAAGCAAUGGCAGGGAGACCAAAGGGCAAAGAAAGGUCAGAGCCUGCUGUGAGGUCAUAUCCAACUUUGGGGAAAAGAUGGGGACUGUGGGGCUCAGGCAAGUGGCGCACACCUUUAAUCCCAGCACACAGGAGGCAGGCGGAUUUCAGCCUGGUCUACAGAGUGAGUUCUAGGGCAGCCAGCCGCACACAGGGAAACCCUACCUAGAAAAGCCGGAAAAAAGGGUGGGUUAUGGCCAGAGCCAUGCCCUUGGCCUUUGAUUCACUUUAUAGGAGCACAAUGCUGACACCCGGAGCUGCUCGGGGACUACAGACUCAUGUUCAGUCGCCUUUGCCGUCUUCUCAGGGGACAGCAGACUGCCGCUAAGGAAGGGAGCCAGAUUCACAUCACUUGUGAUCCAAAGGCUAGGUAGGCACUUGGGUGAGUUUGGGAAGACCAAGGACUGUGGGAGGACUGGAAGCUGAAGCCAUGGAGGACUGUAGAGCAGCAGUUUGGCUCCAGUCCAAGGCUGAGGAGGCAAUGGGAGGAGCUUAGACUCUCUCUUUGAUCUCUGUGGUCAGGAAGAUCAAUUACCAUGUGCCUAGCCUCAGUUUACCUUCUGUUGGAGGGGUGCGGUAUGCUGGAAAGAGGUCCCAGCUUUGAAGGAAGAAUCCUUCUCCAGUUCCCUAGAAGCAGAGAGAGAAGCUCUCUCGAUGUAGUCCAGGCUGAUACCUAACUUAGCAAUGCUCCUGCCUCAGCGUCUUGAAUACUAGUAUGACAAGCAUAAGCCGCUGCACUCACCUCUUUCUAGCCUGUGUCCUCAGAACUGCCUUUUCCACCCAGAGCGCCCUGCCCCCAGCAUCCCCUCCACAUCAGCUCAGAGACAGGAGCCAGGUACAUGGCUGGCUCCACCCCAUCAGUGCCAUUCCUGUGACUGGCACCGCUUUCUUCCUGUUCUGUCCCUGUGCCAAGGAACACUGGCAUUAGGAGUCUCAGGGCAGUUUAUCAGAGUAGCUGCCACAUUGAAAUCUCCAACAGAGGAUCGGGAUCCUCCCCCCCCCCUGCCCCCCAUGACAGCUGCAGGUUUCUGAGGGCCCCCUAGGCUGAUAUGGAAGCCAAGGAUACGGGAACAGGAAAAUCCGGUUACAUCCAGCCCAAUUCUGCCUUUCAUCUACUCUUGUUACUGGAAUCAGUAGCAGGGAGAGAGCUGAGGAUCUGAGAGGUGAAGCGGAGAUUGGGGUUAAGAGGUCAACCAGCAGGGCAGGAUGGUAGUCGGUGUGCAGGGAGUAGGGCUAUGGGGGUGCUGGGCGAACACAGGGCUGGUGAGCCGGGAGCUUGGGAGACCCAGGGACUGGAAAAACUAAGGUCUGGGAUCCCGGGAUCUGGAGGACUCAGGACCUGAAGGAACUAGCUGGGGACUUGAGGCUGGGACUCCAGAGUCUGGGAGAACCAGGGUCUCUUCUCAGCAAUGGCAUCUCCUUCCAGAGAGCCCUGGGGUGGGGUCAGAGACCAAUGCAUCCAGUUCCUGGAUCCCUAGGGCUCGUCAGGAUUCAGGGGACCUGCCCCCAACCUCCUCACCUGUACUCACCUCUUCUGGCUGUGGUAACAGGGAAAUGACCUAGGAAUGGACGAACCGCAGCGUGGCUCUGCGGACUGGACGGCAGUGUGUAUCUUCCAGCUUGGCUCUUCGUUCAGGACCAAGGAAACUUCCUGAGUUUAACCACAGCCCUGGAUAGAAACUCCACCCAGGGUGUACCUGCUGACAUCCUAGAACCAGAGAGGCUGGACCCGGAGGAGGCAGUCAAAGCCAGGGCCGAGCUGAUGAGCACCAAGAAAUGCCUCUCUACAUACACGGAACCUGUCGGCAGCUUCUGACCCUCCUGUGUGGCGCACCGUAGACCACCGACCUGGCUUCUGGGAAUAUGGGACAAGAACUGCACAGAACCUCUAAAGAGCCCAAGGACAUGCCAGGCAACGGUGGCCCGUGUAUGUAAUCCCAGCACUCGGAGACAGAACUCGGAGUUUGAGAACAGCCUGGUCUACAGAACAAGUUCCCAGACAGCCAGGGCUACACAGAGAAACCCUGUCUCAAAAUAACGAAAACAAGAACCCGCAGACAGCAAUAAACAACCUGGAGCUGCGUGGGUGUGUAAGACAAUAACCAAGAUGCAGAAUACUAACCAAGGCAUGGGAACCACCCCAAGUUCCUUGGUUUGGGAUAUAUGUACAUAUGUAUAACUCACACACACACACACAUAUCAUAUGUAUUACAUAUAUAUCGCUAUAUAUAUGUAAUAGUUUAGUCCUCUAUAAUCAACUUUUAGGGAGUCCAGGCUGACUUUAGACUUGGAGUCCUCCUGCCUGUCUCCAAAGUGCUGGGAUCACAGAUUGGGCCAUGUAAUACUUCAUGUAGAUCUUGGUUAUGCUUAAACCACAGCUUCCAACACCACAAUGCUGAUGCCAAGUGCCUCUGCUGGGGCUCUGCUCUCAGGCCCCAGAUGCAGGCUCACAAGUGGGGGGACAGCUCUGCCACUCUCUCUGUCCGCAGGUCCCACAGUCCUCAGCCUCUGCCAACUGAACGGCUCCUCUGGUCACUAAGCAUCCAGUUCACUCAGCAUCAUUUAUGAUGUGUUGGGUGUCAUAGGAGCAGGGCGGGAGAUCUCAGACUUAGGAAACACAAGCAGUGCCCAGCUUGAGUUCUUUCUCUUGUUGCCUUUGUUGGACAGGGGGAGAAGGCAGGGCACAAGGAGGGAGCCUGAGGGUUCUGCUCCCCACCGCAGCACCUCGCCACUCCCAUGGUAAUGACAAGAGCGGCUGGCGCUGUGCUUUUGCACGUGACCAUCUGAUACUCUGCAAUACAAAGACAUGGAACACAUGUACUACUGUGAGAUGAACCUUGGAACAGAGUCUGACAUAAAAGAUGCUGUUGUCUGAUUCUACUGGAGCAGAGAUCCAAGCCAGGCAAGUCCACAGAAACACACCUCGGAGCCAGGGGAGAGGGAGCAGGGGGGAUCACCAGGUUUCUUUGGGAAGUGUAAAAUGGAAAGUUCUAGAACUUGAAAAUGAUGGUCGCCUAUUAUGAAUGUACUAAAAAUGACUGUACUUAGCAUCUUAAGAUAGUGAAUUUUAUCUCAAGGAAAAAUGUAUAUGAUAAAGGUAUAACUUUUGAAAGAUUUGUGUGUCCAUGUGUGGGUCUGUGCACAUGAAUGUGAAGAUGUCUGCUAAGGCCAGAGGAGGGUAUUGGAGCUCCUGGAGAUGAAAUUGGUUCUAAGUCACCCUGAGUUAUUACUGGAAACCAAAUUUGGCCUUCAGGGAGAACAGCAAGAACUCUUAACUACUAAGCCAUCUCUGUGGCCCCAACAGUGUAUCUGUUAUCACCUGACCUGACCCAGAUCCCAUACACUGCAGUGUAUCUGUUAUCACCUGACCUGCUCGCCUAGCCCCAUCUCCCACCUGCACUCAAGCUCUUUCCCUGUCUUCUCCCUAUCAUGCAUCCCCAUAGCUUCUGUGGCGCCCAGGAUUGGGCUCUUGAAGUCUCAGGACCUGCCUAGCUUUGAUCCCAUGACGCUGACCCUUGGCAUCUUCCUGAUGAAAACUGUUCCCGAAUCUGGCUCUCGCCUCCAGAUUCUGGUUCUUGGGAACCCGAUCCCAGUGAUGUGAGCUGCACAUCGCCUCUGCCUUCUCUAGGCAUCAAGGCAGGGAAGGCUGCUGAGAAGUGGAAAACAGAGGGAGGUAAACCUACCUUGUUCACUCUUGACACCCCAUCCCUCUGCUCCUGGUGCCUCUGGAGACCUCUUCAGACACCAAAGGCCUGCAAUCCUUUCUCCAGAGCUGUUUCAUACCCACACUGUACCUUGAAUAAAUACACUAAUAAAAUUGACUUUGGACGGAGAAGAAAGCUGAGGCCCAGAGAGAUU
This is a long non-coding RNA of Mus musculus (house mouse), 7162 nucleotides long. RefSeq annotates it as predicted gene, 39008. The transcript has 4 exons. The record is from RefSeq and is a predicted model, not a curated record. NCBI's taxonomy places the organism in Eukaryota, Metazoa, Chordata, Mammalia, Rodentia, Muridae.